Molecule: ribosomal RNA, 465 nt
Filed under: Vreelandella stevensii
Lineage: Bacteria; Pseudomonadati; Pseudomonadota; Gammaproteobacteria; Oceanospirillales; Halomonadaceae
Description: partial 16S ribosomal RNA
Rfam family: Bacterial small subunit ribosomal RNA
Source: RNAcentral
CCUACGGGUGGCUGCAGUGGGGAAUAUUGGACAAUGGGCGAAAGCCUGAUCCAGCCAUGCCGCGUGUGUGAAGAAGGCCUUCGGGUUGUAAAGCACUUUCAGUGGGGAAGAAAGCCUUGGGGCUAAUACCCCCGAGGAAGGACAUCACCCACAGAAGAAGCACCGGCUAACUCCGUGCCAGCAGCCGCGGUAAUACGGAGGGUGCGAGCGUUAAUCGGAAUUACUGGGCGUAAAGCGCGCGUAGGCGGUCUGAUAAGCCGGUUGUGAAAGCCCCGGGCUCAACCUGGGAACGGCAUCCGGAACUGUCAGGCUAGAGUGCAGGAGAGGAAGGUAGAAUUCCCGGUGUAGCGGUGAAAUGCGUAGAGAUCGGGAGGAAUACCAGUGGCGAAGGCGGCCUUCUGGACUGACACUGACGCUGAGGUGCGAAAGCGUGGGUAGCAACCAGGAUUAGCUACCCCAGUAGUC